CUACCCUUGACAUGUCAGGAAUCCUGCAGAGAUGUGGGAGUGCCCGAAAGGGAGCCUGAGCACAGGUGCUGCAUGGCUGUCGUCAGCUCGUGUCGUGAGAUGUUGGGUUAAGUCCCGCAACGAGCGCAACCCUUGUCAUUAGUUGCUACGAAAGGGCACUCUAAUGAGACUGCCGGUGACAAACCGGAGGAAGGUGGGGAUGACGUCAAGUCCUCAUGGCCCUUAUGGGUAGGGCUUCACACGUCAUACAAUGGUACAUACAGAGGGCUGCCAACCCGCGAGGGGGAGCUAAUCCCAGAAAGUGUAUCGUAGUCCGGAUUGGAGUCUGCAACUCGACUCCAUGAAGUUGGAAUCGCUAGUAAUCGCGGAUCAGCAUGUCGCGGUGAAUACGUUCCCGGGUCUUGUACACACCGCCCGUCACACCAUGGGAGCGGGUUUUACCAGAAGUAGUUAGCCUAACCGCAAGGAGGGCGAUUACCACGGUAGGAUUCGUGACUGGGGUG
RNAcentral lists this ribosomal RNA (503 nucleotides) under uncultured bacterium. Its description in RNAcentral is "bacterial SSU rRNA". It matches the Rfam family "Bacterial small subunit ribosomal RNA", at positions 975 to 1482 of the family's 1533-position model. The record is from RNAcentral.